AGUCACAGCCAUAUCACCCUGCAGCCCAAGACCGGUCACUCACUGUAGGUAAACAGGGCUGAGCCUGGUUAGUACCAGGAAAGGAGACCACAUGGGAUAAGUAGGUUGCUAUUGAAA
Molecule: non-coding RNA, 117 nt
Organism: Danio rerio (zebrafish)
Lineage: Eukaryota; Metazoa; Chordata; Actinopteri; Cypriniformes; Danionidae
Source: Rfam